UUUUCUCCUCUCUUUCAUCCAAUCGCUUGCCUUCUUUCCUGACCUUUCGAUCUGUUUUGGUCUAACAAUGUUUCUCUCCAAUUUCGUUUCCAUUGAUUCUGGUUUUUCUAAGUUCUUUUGUAGGUCCAUCCCGGCAGCUGAAUAAAAACUUGCAGAUAAAAGUUUGGGAUAGUGGACGGCAAGGCUGGUUGCGCAAACAUUAACGACCAGGUGAGGUUGUUCGUUCCUUUUUUUUCCUCGCCUCCUGAUCUCUUUCCCUCUCAUUCCCCUCUAUAUUCUCCCCACCUAUCUCAUUUUUAUUUACCUCUCUGUGGAUCCGUCUAAUUUUUCGUUCCAAGCAUGGCAUAGAGCAUCACCUCUAAAUUGUUAUACGUGAUGGAUGAGAGAAGAGUAAUUGUUCACUUAAUUUGCGAAUAGCAAAGCAGGGAAUUUCCUUUUGUAAAAGUUACUUCUUGGAAAAUUUGGGUGAAAUGAGCUCAUAUUUAUUUAAGGUAAUACUAAAAAAGUGGUAAAGGCAUGUAUAUUUUGUACCAUCAAUAGUGAAUUCACGGAAUGCGAAUAAGCAUGUGCAGAGAACUCCGUUCAAACUGUGUGAGUUACAGGAAAAGACAUAAACUGAAGAGGAGUCAUAUGAAUAUAUUGCUUUCUCUUACUACUUAAUGGUCUCCUAAUACAUGAGAAUGCUAUAGAAAGACUUCUUGGGAAGGUGAGUACAAAAUGAUAGAUUAUGUUUUAAUUUUCUAAUCUGUUAGCUUUCCCCAGUCUCAUAUUGAGUACAGAUUGGAUUCAUUAGUUCUUCCUCCUUUCCUAAAUGAUUUAUAUCCGUAAAUUUUUAUUUGAGUAGGAAGUUAGCCCCUUUGGUGACCAUUUGGGUUACUUGAUAGACCAUGGCGACCUUAUUACUCUCAGGAAAAUGGAUGAUAGAAAAGGCAAGAAAAUGUUCUGAUUUUCAUAAGAAAUCAUGAGAAUAUAAAACACCAUGAUUUUCAUAAGAAAUCAUGAGAAUAUGUUGUAUGUAAUUGGCAGAAGAAUAUAGAAGUAAAUCAAGUAUUAAUUUUUAUUAAAGUUUGUGAUAUGUUACCAAUGUUUGCAGUAGCUUCAUCCAAUUUCGAUAUUCUAUUUAGUUUUUCUCUAUGGGUGACCUUCGGGUUUUUCUUGACCGCAUAGAAACAAUAAUGGUUGGAAGAAGAUCCUAGAGGGACAAAAUGAAGCAUCUGGUUUCCAUUUUCAGGUGUCCGAAGCCGGCGAGUAUUUUUCAGGUGCCGAAAUUACUAUGACCAAUGUGUCGACUAGCAUAAUGUACAAAAUCACUCUCAUCUUUCUCUCAAGGGGUUUUUUAAUUUGUCUGCAUCUAAGCAUUUAGUUCCAUCCAUGCAAGUUUUGGGUGGCACAAAUAGUCUCUGUUAUAUCUGCUGAUAAGAAGAGACAUCUAGCUUAGUUGUGCACUUCACAUCUUGUGAUGUUCAUAAAAGUGUAAGGGCAUGUGUUUCCUUUUUCAGUACAGGUUAAUCUUCAUAGUUACAUGUUUUCACAGUAAUCGAUAUUUACAAAAAUAGUGUCUCAUUCUGAGGUUGAAAAGCUAUGGCAACCAGUCCAUAACCAUUAUUUAUCGUGAAAUUGCCUUAUCCCGAAGUUACACUCAUCAACUGGGUAACAAGCUGUUCCGUAGUUGAUGUUUUCAAAUAUUGGCUUAUCUUUUAUUUUAUUUUCCCAGCUUAGCAGUGCAAAUCUGAAGGAAUGGUAUUCUUUUUGUCCUGCUGACUUUAUUUAUUUCAGGACGAAGUCAAGACCCUUACUUUUGGUUGUGUACACAAAUUGAAGAUGAAGCUCUCAGCAAGUCUUAGUUCAGCUACAUGAUGCUCUUUCUUACAUCUAAAAGGAGAGAAAUUGAAGCUAUUAUGCGCCCCCGUGAUGUGCUGCCAAUUAUUCACCUAGGAAAGCCUAGCACCACAAAACUACUCAGGCACGUCCAUGUAAAUGUGUGCCUUUGCCGGCGAGACCGGCCUCCUUCUUUCUCGCCUCCUCCAGUUCCACGUCGGCGUCGUGGUCUUCAAGAUGUACUGUUGUACUGUAUCCUCGACGCACUGGCUCUUCUGCUGAUACGCGACCAAGGCUAGAUUUCAUGGGUGUUCUUUACGUGUUGUUGGGCCCAUUGGGUUUUCAGGUCUCCUCUAGCGCACACAUGACACAUGUAUCAAUGCACUCAUAAUUUAUAAGUACAAAAUUACAGCCUAUGCUACGACAUCAAACCCCCAGAGACGAAAAGAUAUCAGCUGCUGUAUUCACCUUCUUUGGUCCCUAGAUAGCCCUACUUUCAGGCAAAGAUGAACUUAGUUGUUGUUAUGUCCGUGGUCCACUAUUUUGUUUCCCUUUUCUCUGUCCUAUUUCAGUUUGAUCAAUGCAGGCAAAGAUGAAUCAGUUUGAUCAAUGCAACCUUCUAUUCCUAUGUCA
Lolium rigidum is the source of this 2451-nucleotide long non-coding RNA. RefSeq lists it as uncharacterized. Lineage: Eukaryota; Viridiplantae; Streptophyta; Magnoliopsida; Poales; Poaceae. The transcript is spliced from 3 exons. The record is from RefSeq and is a predicted model, not a curated record.